UGCCGGACCAUGUCCAAGUCCCUUGGAACAGGGUAUCAAAGAGGGUGACAAUCCCGUACUUGACAUGACCACCGGUGCUCUGUGAUACACUUUCUACGAGUCGAGUUGUUUGGGAAUGCAGCUCAAAAUGGGUGGUAAAUUCCAUCUAAAGCUAAAUAUUGGCGAGAGACCGAUAGCGAACAAGUACCGUGAGGGAAAGAUGAAAAGCACUUUGGAAAGAGAGUUAAACAGUACGUGAAAUUGUUGAAAGGGAAACGAUUGAAGUCAGUCGUGUUCUUUGGACUCAGCCGGUUCUUCCGGUCUAUUUCCUUUGAACGGGUCAACAUCAGUUUUGUCCGGUGGAUAAAGGCA
Molecule: ribosomal RNA, 351 nt
Filed under: Vanrija musci
Lineage: Eukaryota; Fungi; Basidiomycota; Tremellomycetes; Trichosporonales; Trichosporonaceae
Description: eukaryotic LSU rRNA
Rfam family: Eukaryotic large subunit ribosomal RNA
Source: RNAcentral